This 1384-nucleotide long non-coding RNA is filed under the name Sus scrofa (pig). RNAcentral's name for it is "lncRNA (ENSSSCG00025000172.1)". Lineage: Eukaryota; Metazoa; Chordata; Mammalia; Artiodactyla; Suidae. The record is from RNAcentral.
GUACAGCCUGAGCAGACGACCCACGAGGAAGGUCAGGAUCAAGCAGAGUGAAGGAAGGAAAGCUAGAUUCCCUGGAGGCUGCCUGAGAGCUGCUUGCCAGUCCCGGAGGAGGAGGCUGAUGUAAUGGUGUAUAACCUCCAGGUCACUGAGCUGCGGAGAACAGCCCAAGGGGCCCUUGGCAAAGACGAUGUUGCUUUCAUCUGGUCUCCUGCGGAAACAUAGAAUCCAUUGUUAAACAUUUGUCAGCACACCCAUGAGUAGAAGUCUCAGUUUUGCUCUCAGAGAGGCAUAAAUUCUGACCGACUCCUGGCUUUGGGAAAGAGGUAUUUAAAAUUCACUAGACUAUAUCGGAGGAAAUGCAGCAUCCACCCCAAUGACUUCUGAUUAUAUGUAAAGAAAGAGAAACAGAGCAAGAGAGAAAAGAGAGAAGAAGAAAAAAGAGAAUGUGGAAGUUCUGGGGCCAAGAAUCGAACCCAUGCUGCAGCAAUGACACCAGAUCCUUAACUGGCUGCACCAUCAAGGGAUCUCUUGGUUAAUCUUUUCUAUUGUUUUUCUGUUCUUUAUUUCAUUUAUUUCUAUUUACUCUUAGUUUCUUCCUUUUGCUAACUUUGGGCUUAGUCUAUUUUUAUUUUUUUCAUUCCUUAAGGUGUAGAAUUAGGUUGUUUAAUUGAGAUCUUUCUUGCUUCUUAAUAUAGGUGUUUAUUUCUAUCAACUUACCUCUUAUAACAGCUUUUGCUGCAUCCUUUAAGUUGUGGUAUGUUGUUUUCCCCAUACAUUUUAAAACAUUUUAUUUACUUAUUUUUUUGGCCAUGACCAUAGCAUGUGGAAGAUCCUGGGUUGGGUACAGAACCUAAGCUGCCGCAGUGAUAAUGCUGGAUCCUUAACCCAAUUCACUACAAGGGCACUCCUGCAUUUUUGUUUGUCUCAAGAAAACUUUAAAUUUCUUUAGUUUCUUCUUUGAACCACUGUUUUCUCAGAGCCCCAAUUCUUUACCCUCCUUGUAUCCUCACCCUUUAAAUUUGCAGUUUCUUUCAUUUAUGACAGAGUCUAUUUCUUUAUUCCUUGAAUCUGGACUCAUCUUGGGAUUGCUUUGUCUCAAGAUGAUUUUGUUUUCUUUAAUCAAUGUUGUUUCUUGGUUGCCCUUUAGCCAAUGGAUUAUUAGCAAACAUGGUACAAGGAGGAACUUGAAAAGUAUUGGUACAAUUGCACUUUCCAUGCUCUUACGAACAUCAUGAGAGGUCCAUGUCGAGUUGCCAAAGCUAUCCUAGCUAAAGCCAUCAUAGUUAAUUCAAGAAGCAUCAACCCUCAGAAAAUGAGUGAAUUGAGGCCAAAUCAGCUGAGUUUUUUACUUUUGAGUGAAAUAAAUAUUUGUUGCUGUCACCAA